GAAAGAUGCUUCUCUUCUGUUCUCACUUCGUCUUUCAUUUCUUCAAGCAAAAGGGAAACCCUUCUCUCUCUCUACCAUUAUAAUCUCUAAUUUUUCAAGCUAAAUGAUCCAUUAAGAACCCUAGGGUUUCAAAAUGAGCAACAACACAACCCCCACCACCCCUACUUCCAAUGGCAGCAACUCUGUUCAUUCCAAUCACCAGCAAGAUCCCGCCUCCUACUUUCUCAAGCUUGCGCGGCAGUACUCGCCGGCGCCUGGGGCUCCUUGUGCGUCGACGAUGAUGGAAGAGGACGACCGGGAGGAUGAGCCUACUGAGCUCAACACGAUCAAUAGCUCCGGAGGGUUUCUUGUGAUGUCCACCGACAAGCUUUCUAUUAAGUACACAAAUGUUAAUCUUCACGGCCAUGACGUCGGCGCUGUCCAAGCCAAUAAGCCUGCUCCUGUUAAGCGGCUUGUUUAUUACUUCGAGAUUUAUGUUAAGAAUGCUGGGGCUAAAGGGCAGAUUGCUAUUGGCUUCACUAAUGACACCUUUAAGAUGCGCCGGCAACCCGGUUGGGAAGCAAACAGUUGCGGAUAUCAUGGAGAUGAUGGAUAUCUGUAUCGUGGACAAGGAAAGGGUGAGCAAUUUGGUCCAACCUUUACUGCCAAGGAUACAGUUGGUGCUGGUAUUAAUUAUGCUUCACAGGAAUUCUUUUUCACGUAAGAAAGUGCCCACUUUGGUCAAUAUAUUUGUUGCUGGAUUAAAAGUAUUAUUGCAUGUGCAAGUUGUAAGUGUAAAUACACCUUCUAUUUUGAAAUAUUUACUUUAACAUGUGUUCCUAUGUUGUAGUAAAAAUGGAGCAGUAGUUGGGGCGGUGUGCAAUGAAAUGAAAGGUCCCUUGUUCCCUACAGUUGCUGUUCACAGCCAGAAUGAAGAGAUUGAAGUCAACUUUGGGCAGAAACAAUUUGCUUUUGAUCUUAAGGAAUAUGAAGCACAGGAAAGGAUGAAGCAACAAAUUACAAUUGAGAAAAUAUCCUUGCCACCAAAUGUCAGUUAUGGACUUGUUCGCGCCUACUUACUGCAUUAUGGCUAUGAGGAGACUCUCAAUUCUUUUGACUUGGCUAGUAAAAGUACUGUCCCUCCUAUAUAUAUAGCUCAAGAGAAUGGGUUUGACGAGCAGGACAUCACAUAUGCAUUAAACCAGAGAAAAACUCUUCGACAGUUAAUUAGGAAUGGUGAUAUUGAUGCUGCAAUUGGUAAACUUCGUGACUGGUAUCCACAGAUUGUUCAGGAUGAAAGAUCGGCCACUUGCUUUCUGCUUCACUGUCAAAAAUUUAUUGAAUUGGUUCGGGUUGGAUCUCUGGAGGAGGCUGUGAAAUAUGGAAGGAUUGAAUUGGCAAAGUUCUUUGAGUUGCCUGGGUUUGAUGAUCUAGUUCAGGACUGUGUUGCUUUGCUGGCAUAUGAACAGCCACAAGACUCCUCUGUUGGCUAUCUUCUUGAAGAGUCACAGCGUGAGAUAGUGGCCGACACUGUAAAUGCUAUGAUCUUGUCAACAAAUCCCAAUCUGAAGGAUUUGCAAGGUUGCUUGCGCUCGUAUCUUGAGAGGUUACUGAGGCAGCUUACUGUUUGCUGUUUGGAGAGAAGGUCCUUGAAUGGGGAUCAAGGUGAAGCUUUCCAUUUGCAGAGAGUACUCAACAGUGGCAAGAAGGCCAAGUGCUAACUCACAUGAUCUCCUUUGUCUUUCACUGUUCAUAUUGGCGGUAAACCUUUUCCUGAACUGCAAUUCAAGCGAUCAGAUAAAGCAGAGCGAGUGUCGUGCGUCGGUGGACUCCUUCAUGUAUGGCUAAGAUUUGAGGUGAGAGUUAAAGGUAUUUCUCAAUUUCCCCAAAGCUUGUAACCUUGCAAAAUAUGAUCUUGAACUGUGGUCUCUGACUAUUCUUCUUACAUGUGGUUAUAGUAGUUAAUUUCCGAGGUUCCUGUAUAUAUGUGGUUUACAGGAGUAUACAUUGUCCAAGAUUUUUAGCAUUUACGCUCCGUUUCAUUCUAUAGAAAACAUGUUGAAAGUUCUGUUGUUGCAUUGCAUGGAUUUGUAUAAGCUUUCGUCUCGGUAUUUUUGAGUAGUUAAGCAAAAUAAUUCUGUGAUUGUUUGAAGCAGUUAACUCUAUGACCCUAUUGGACCUUUUGCCAUUACGGGAUGGGCCAACAUUUUGAAUUCUUCUAUUAGGCUGCUUGAUUAUUUUAAGAAAGGGUAAAUUAUAGUUAUUUUUGUUUUCAAUUUGAAAUAAUUUGGACUCUUUUAAAAUUCAUUUUGUUAAUGAAA
This 2300-nucleotide unclassified non-coding RNA is filed under the name Hevea brasiliensis (rubber tree). Lineage: Eukaryota; Viridiplantae; Streptophyta; Magnoliopsida; Malpighiales; Euphorbiaceae. The record is from RNAcentral.